RNAcentral lists this unclassified non-coding RNA (339 nucleotides) under soil metagenome. RNAcentral describes it as "partial contains 5.8S ribosomal RNA, internal transcribed spacer 2, and large subunit ribosomal RNA". The stretch from base 1 to 120 matches the Rfam family "5.8S ribosomal RNA", at positions 35 to 154 of the family's 154-position model. The record is from RNAcentral.
GAUGAAGAACGCAGCGAAAUGCGAUAAGUAGUGUGAAUUGCAGAAUUCAGUGAAUCAUCGAAUCUUUGAACGCACAUUGCGCCCUUUGGUAUUCCUUAGGGCAUGCCUGUUCGAGCGUCAUUUAAACCUUCAAGCUCAGCUUGGUGUUGGGUGACUGUCCGCCGCCCCCGGGCGCGUGGACUCGCCUCAAAAUUAUUGGCGGCCGGUACAUUGGCUUCGAGCGCAGCAGAAACGCGAACUCGAGCCCGUCGUAUUGGCUCCCAGAAGCUAUCUUCACAAUUUUGACCUCGGAUCAGGUAGGGAUACCCGCUGAACUUAAGCAUAUCAAUAAGCGGAGGA